This is an RNA transcript of Olea europaea var. sylvestris, 10016 nucleotides long. It is a transcript of the gene named putative F-box protein At5g55150, with no coding region annotated. NCBI's taxonomy places the organism in Eukaryota, Viridiplantae, Streptophyta, Magnoliopsida, Lamiales, Oleaceae. The transcript has 2 exons. The record is from RefSeq and is a predicted model, not a curated record.
UUAUCUAGCCGUUUAUAUCUCCUCUAAUUGUCUAUAAAUUGGAUCGCCUAGCCUUGUUCAUCAAUCAUUAGGAAGCCGGUGGUCCGGGUUGGUAUUAAUUUUCGGUGUUGCUUUUGUUAUUGGUGGUCGUGUGUCAUUGAUUUCAAUUAUUGGAUUGAGCAUAGGGAAUUCGAUGGUACGAAUGCCCCUUGUGGAUUUUCGUGUUUUUGGAAGAACUUUGGUUUUCUCGUUCAUCCCUUGAAUUCCAACGUGAAGAUAUUAUGAUUUCCCUGCUCUGAUGAUAGAUGUAUUGGUAAUCAUUCCAAGAAUCUGGGUUUAUGGUAUUUUCUCGAUUCCCGUAUUUUUGGAAGAACUUGGGUUUUCUCGUUCAUCCCUUGGAUUCUAACGUGAAGAUAUUAUGAUUUCUUGGUCUGAUGAUAGAUAUACUCUUGAAUUCUAACGUGAAGAUAUUAUGAUUUCAUGGUCUGAUGAUAGAUAUACUGGUGAUCAGUCCAACAACCUAGGUUCAUGGUAUUUUCUUGAUGCUCAUUAUUUGAAGCUUGGAUCUUUCUGAUAAUUCUUUGGCAGUUCUAUCCCGUUUUCCUCCGUUUUGUGGGGUUUUCUUUCUUGGUUUGUUAAUAUUAGAUAUUGUGAUUUCCUGGUCCGAUGAUCAAGCAGAUAAUCACUCAACUCUGGGUUUCUGGUAUUUUCUUGACACUCUUCUGAUGAUUCUCCAUGGGUUUUUCUUCCCUGAUUUGAUCAAGUUUGAUUUAUCGUUUAUCCCUUUAAUCCUAACUUGAAGGUGUUGUGAUUUCCUUGUCCGAGACCAUCAUUUAAAGAACCUGGGUUGCUGGUAUUUUCUUGAUACUCAUUAUUGGAACAUUGGCCUUUAUGUUUACCCCGUUUUCCUCCGUUUUGUUGGGUUUUCUUUUUUGGUUUGGCAGAUGCUUGUGGUCGUCCAAGCUUUUAGUAAUUUCGUAUUGAUUCCAGUUACUGGAUCGAGAAUAAGAACUUAUGAUAUGAUUUGAUUAGUUUCUUUUCUCUCCUGUGUAGUUCUCAUAAUUUUGCAAAAACGGGAUUUUUUUGUUUAGCACUUGAAUCCUAACUUGAAAGUAUAUAGUGUUUUCUUGAUAUCCUGACAAUAAUUUCAAGAAUCUGGGUUUCUGGUAUUUUCUUGAUAUUCAUUAUGCGAACUUGGUCUUUCUGAUUUUUCUUCUUUGGUUCAGCAGUUGCUGAUUUUGGUAUUUUGGUGGCAGUACAAGUGUUGGUAAUUUUUUAUCGAUUACUAUUAGUGGGGUGGGAAGAAGAAGUUUUGAAGGUUUGGAGUUUUUUUCUCUGGCCGAAACUUUGGAUUUUUAUUUAUUUUUAUUUAUCCAUUGAAUCCUAGAUAUGAUUUCCUUGUAUGAUGAUGAUAAUGAUAGAUAUACUGACAUUAAUUCCAAGAAGCUUUGGAAGGAUGAGUUUUGGUGAUAUUGCAAACUUGUAUUUUCUUAAUACUAAUUAUUUUUAAUCUUGGGUCUUCAUGAGGAUUUUUUGGUGGUUUUAGCCCGUCCAUUUUGUGGCUUUCUUCCUUGCUUUUGGCGGUUUGGUGUUGGUUUUUUGGUUGGCCAUCCCAGCUAGAUACACUGACAGUUAUUUCAAGAAUCUAUAUAGAAGGAUUGGAUUUUGGUGCCAUUGCCAGGCGUGGAACUGGUAUUCUCAAAUUUUCUUGAUACUCGUUAUUUGUAUGGUCGGGGUUUUUCAUGAUUUAUGGGUUAUUUUAGCUGCUCGUUUCCCCUCCUUUUUUGGGACCAAUCUCUUUCUGCUCGAUUUUAUUUACUUCAUCCAGAUUUGUUGCCCUGGUUUUAUUUCCUCCUGUUCAGAUUUUUUAUAGGUCCGGAUCUGUUUUAGUGAUUAAGACAUGGAGUUGUUUGGACGCAAAUUUUUGCACCUGGAAUCUCUUUAUUUGGUUUUAAGUGCAUGCGAUUUCAAUUGCCAUCAGAAAAUUCAGGUGUGAACUGUUAAUUAUCAGAAAGUGGUGUUACUGGUGGGGGGUGCAGUGGAGCCUACUUUUGUGAUUUUGGGUUUUUAUUUUUUAUCAUUUGACCCAUACACAAGGCUUUCUUUGGUGUGUGUCUAUGAGUUUCUUUGGUUCUCAGGAAUCGCAUCAAGUGGUUUUCAGGAUGGUGUGAAGCAAUUAUUUAUAUGGUUUUCGGUUGUCAUGGAAUAUGAUCUUCACACUUAUAAUGGGAAAACCGUUUGCUGUUGUGAUUCUUCAUCCGCUGAUGGAAGUUGUCAUGAUAAUGGAUAUUAAUAAAAAUGGGUGUAAGAUUCUCAGAUGUUUUACUUGAUUUCUUCUUCAAUGGUCUCAGCUUGUGUUGGAGGGAGUUCAGGUGGACGCUGGUAUUUUAUAAGGUGUUCUGGAGGGGAAACCUAUUCAUUGUUUACUGCAGCCACGGCCCAUGCUUACGAUGGUGAUUUGUAACCUCUCUCAGACUCUGCUCUAUAUAAAAUUAAAUGUAGAACUUUUUUUUGGGUCUUUUCAUAUAAAAAUGCCUUAGGUUGAUAUUUUUUUUCGCAUGCAGGCAGAUUCGACAAGAAGAGUAAUGCGUGAUAGGGAAACUAUUAGGUCUCAGGGUGUCAUCAAUCUAUUUGUAUUUUCUAUCCUUUUACCGUCAUUUCUUAUUCCAUUCAAUUUUCCCCCUCUUUUCAGCUUCCUGCCUUUUUCCCUUUCCGUUUGCAGAAACUGCUUAUAAAAAUUGCUGUGGUUACCAUCCGAUCUUUCAAGCUUUUGUCGGCUGUUUUUGAAACUUCGGCUGCUAAUUUCAGGGUCUUGGUUUGGUUUGUUGAAAAUACUUCUUAUCCCUUUAUAUAACCCUUGAUCCAGAUGGGUACCUACUAGAUAGGGUGGUGGACUGGCAGUUGGCAUUGAUAAGAACAGAACUCUAAGUUUGGGCAAGAUUGAUGAAAUAUUGAACUCUUCUAAGGAACACAGAGAUUCCUUUAGGUGCAAUAACUUGUUUUCGUAACAUUCUUUCCUAGUAUUUUUGAGCACUGGGGUUUCAAUGUUAUCCUAUUUCUAAUAUAUACUGAUCCAUUACCCUUUUUUGAGUAAGCACCCUUUAUAGUUGGAUAUGAUGGUUCUAUAUUUCCAUUUUCUCCUCUACUUCUGUAGAGAACUACCCUACAUUAGUAGGCGGCAACAAUUCAAUCUUCUACAACUUUUGUAGCAUUGAAAUUGCAGGAUAAUGGGAGGAUUUUUUGCACCUGCUCGUUUGUAUGAAGUUCAUUCUCUCUUUCCUUGAACUCAAAUUUUACCUGCAAUUCUGUAUUUACUAAUGGAUAAGAGUAUUCACAAUUCUGCACCUGCUCGUCAGUUUUCCAUGUACGUAUCUUAUUUCUGAAGGGGUAUUAUGAGAUGAGGUCGACAGGCAGACUUAUAUGUUUCACUUGGUUAGAACAUCUAUUCCGAAUACUUCUACUGUUUAUGCUUAGUGUUCGUAGUGAAAGGCAGUUCUGAAGCUAAAUAAUUAUUUCCUGCGGUUUGUUUAGGAUAAUAUUUUCACAUGAUGUUUAAGUUUUACUCUCAUAUUUCUAAAUAAUUUAGGUAUUUGCAGAUGAUAUUUUGGUGGACUGUGACACCAUUUGGAGAAGGGGCAAAAUAUGGAGUUUUAGUCCUCUGGUAUUUCAGUGUCUUGAUUCUGCAUAGAUUAAUUUCAAAAUGCACACAACCUUGACUCUGAUUGGCAAAUUAAGUCUUGUUUAGUGUAUAGUGGUGUUGCAGGUUCCACUCCUUUGAUCUUUUUUGCUAGGAAUGGAGUUUUAGUCCUCUGGUACCAUUUCUGUCAUUUGAUCCUUACAAAAGGCUUCCUUUGGUAUUUUUAUGCAUUGCUUUAUUCCUUAGGAAUUUGCAGUUUUAAGCGGUUGAUAGUGGGGAAAACAACGCCGUUAAUUGUUUGCUGUGGUUUGUUAUAAUUGACGUUUCUGUGAGUUGAUUGGAAUAUAAUCUUCACAUACAUAUUGGUACAGAAUCUGGUUUCCUUUGGUGCUUCAUCCACAGCUGGAAAUCGUUUUCGUCAAAUAAAAAUGGAUAUUUACGGAAUAAACGGUGUAAGAUUUUCCUUUCUUUUUCUUCACUCAUUUCUGGUUCAUCAGUCUCAGUUGUGUAUUGGGGGAGUUCAUGUGGAGUUUGAUCAGUUCACAAAGACCAAGGCCAUGUUAAGGGGAACUUAUUCAUUGUUCACUGCAGCUAGUCUUUGCUCUAACAUGAAAUGGAAUCUAGUUUUUUUCAGUCUUUUGAAUCACCUUAGUUUCUCUGAUGUGUGUCUGCAUUUGAGGAUGGCACAUGUAACUGAUAAGGUGUUAAGUUUAUUUGUGGUGUUAGUUUUUGAUUUUGUUGGCCCUUUUACCUAUAGUUUGUUCUCCCUACCUUUGUAGACAAGGCCUUCAACUUGAAAGGAAGGAAUCCAUUUGAACUUUUUGGGGCACCUACACGGGUCAGGAAUCUCUAGUAAAGUGGUUUUCAGGAUGGUGGAGCCAAUAUUGUUAAUUUUUUGUUGUGGUUUGUUUUAUUGAUAUAUUUUUAAGAGUUGCUUGGAAUGUGAUUUUCACUUCAUAUUGGUACAGAAUCUGGUUUUCUUUGGUGCUUUUUCAUCCACAGCUGGAAAUCCUUUGGUCAGAUACUAUUCGAUUCUUAUGAAAGAAAGGGUGUAAAAUUCUUCUCUUCUCUUUGCUCAUUUCUGGUUCAUCAGUUUCAGUGUGUGCAUUGGGGUUGUUUAUGUGGAGUCUGAUCAUUUUACGAGGUCUGAGCUGUGAAGGGAACUAUUUUGCGGCUACAUUCGCAUUGGCUAUUACAUCUGUCUUUGCUCUACAUGAACUGGAAUCUGGACUUUUUCAGUUUAGUAUAAAAUUUGCGGCUACAUUCGCAUUGGCGAUUACAUCUGUCUUUGCUCUACAUGAACUGGAAUCUGGACUUUUUUCAGUUUAGUAUAAAAUGCCUUAGGUUUUUGAUGUUCCUCCUUGUGCAGAUAGAUUUGACGGGGAGAGGUCCAAGAGGAUGGCACAUGAAUCAGUUCAUGGGUAUUCUGUGAUGGUGUAGUUGUGAGGUUGGUUACUGAGGCUGAACUAGCAAAACUUGGUUCCAGGCUCCAGUGGUUCUGUGCUGGUUAAUUCAAGGAUCCUUUUUCCUUUUCUUUAACGUGUGGGUAACCUCUCAAGGUGGUGGUGUGCUAGCUGCUGGAUGACGCGUCUUCCCUGGGUGACGACUAAAAGUUGGUUGCAUGUUCUUUGUAUCUAUCUGUUUUGUCCAAUCUUGUUUUGAAUUCAAUGAUUCUUCAUUUCAUCUUUUUUGAAGAUAUAAAAACCAAGUUCAAUUGUUUUCAAAAAAGAUGCUACUGAGACGCAGCACUGGAGAUUUAUGAUUCUUAAGGAUUUUGAAAAGGGCAGAUUGGCUUCUUUCGCUGGUAGCAUACUCUAUUUUAAAUAGUGUGAUUGACUUUUCAUCUCUUCCUUGCGCGAUUGAAUUUGCAGUUCUGCAAGGCUUCAUGGUGAUAUUCGUGAGUUGAAAUUUCUGCCUGGAUGUUUUCUGUUCUAAGUUUUGAUUAAUUAUCUUGGAAUCCUUUUGUGUUGGUUGAUUCCUGGUUACUCCACUGUCAAAGGCAACUUAAAAUCAGACGGAACGAGCAAUCCUGCAAAGAAAUAGAUUAAAAAAUAGACCGAUGAUCAACUCUCACUCGUACAUAUUGCAGACAAUUGUUUUUGCCAACUCUUGGGUUAUUUAUCGUUCAUGAUUGUGAGGUUUGUAGAUUUUUUUGCUCUGGUUAGUGGUGUUGGAUUUUAUGUGCAAUAAUAAAGAGAUGAAAAAGAAAAACAAUAAUUUACGUGGUUCGGUAGUGUGCCUAUGUCCACGAGAGCGAAGCGGAGAUAAUUUUUAUUCAAUAGUGAAAAAUAGGGUUACAACAUAUUAUUUAUACUAAUCCUAAUCUUGGCCCAUAUAAGACUUUAAGGCCCGUACAAGAAAUACCCCUGUUCCAGGACUUAUGUUCCACUCUUUAUGAGCCACAUGAACAACAGUUAGACCACUCCUUGCCCUGGUUGGUUAGACCACACUUCCUUGCUGUGAUCCUAUGCACAUUACUAUUAUGCAGGUGACUUUGAACUAAUUGUUCAUAAUUGCAUGUGGUUGAUUCCUUGUUUAUGAGCUUCAAAUUGAGGUUAUAUUGAUGAAUUUCAGGCUAGAUUUGAAAAGGCUGUUGCGGUUAUCUACAGAUUGAUCAGCUUGGAUUUGGUUCUUUAUUUGUUGUCGACGGCAGUAAGACAAUAACCAUACGGUUACAGUCUGUUUUUCAACUUAUUUGAUUUAUUUGCCUACGAACUUCCUUGGCACAGUAAGGGUUUGAAUAGUGUUCCUUCUAGAAUCUGUGGUUUAUCUGGCCUUCAUUUUGAUAACUGAUUUCAUCAGUUCCAUUUGAGCACAUGCUUAGAUCCUCUACUCUGUAGUGUUUGCUUUUGGAGCCACAUUUAUCUUCUUUCUCUAGUUCAAAUAUAAUGAUAUGGAGAAGCUAUGAUAUUUUUGGGGCUGUCCACUUCGUUACAUGUGUUUCAUAUGAAAUACAUGUGGUGUUUCUCUGAUAUUCCACAAUUCCAAGUAUAACCAAGUAGCUCAUAUUUAAGGUAAUGUUGGGACUCCUUUUCAGACAACUGAUAACUAAUCAACUUUCUGUUACCUUGUCAUCUGAUAUAUUAUGGAGUUGAAUAUAGGUUAGCUAUGAACUGUUGGAAGCCACUCUUGAGGGGUAUCCUUGCAGCUGGAGUCCAGCUCUAUGCUGUAUUUUUUCGCAGCUGCUGCACACGAAGUGUAGGAGGCUUGAAUCUUAUUUGGGCAUUUGGUAUUUAUUAAUCAGUGGUGCCUGUUGAAUUCAAAAUUUUCUUCCACCUUGUGUGUAGCCUUGAUGGAAUAUUUCAGUGUGUUGUUUUUCUUGUGUUGUACCUGAGUGCGCGUCUUAAGCUUUCCGUAUCGAAGAGGAAAGCUGCAAUCAGCUCUGGAAAUAUUAAGUGUCAGAAAUAUACAGAACAUGCACUAUUAGCUAACAAUCAACACCUAUGACGAUAUGCUCGGUAUGGAUGGUUUUGACUCGCAAGUUCGAAGGAGCUCUCUCUCACUGUAAUCCACACUUUUCCCCGCACAGUCGAUUAUUGUUUGGCGGACGGACCAAAGGAUAUAUAAAUACAAGUUGACUAGGAGGCAUAUUCAGUACGCAAUAUUUUCCAUUUAACUAUUACUCUAAAAUUUUGCCUCAUACCCUAUUCAGUCUCUUUGAUUACCCUGUGUUGUUACAAACUGGUUUUUUAUUCUUUGGAUCAAGUUAGAUUGACGGUGUCAAGUACGUAGAUACCUACAUGAUCAUAAAUAAAUCCAUUUCACGCUUGCAGAUUUUGCUCGUAGACAAAAAUGCUGCAUAAUCCCACUACUGGCCCAUAAAAUGAGAACUGGAAGAGAAAUAUAAAUCGAUACUUGGAACUAAAAAGUUCAUUUUACCAGUAUUUCUCCUCUAAUUCACAAUUUUGUGUCUUUCAAUAUUUCGUAACCUUUGCUUUUAUGCACAAUUCUGGUUGUUGGUAAGUCAAAUUUUGAAGGGAACAAAGACUAUUUUAAAAAUGGUAAGAUGUUCUUGGAUUUGCUGCAUACUAUACUGUGUUUUAAAGUUGUUUCAUUGUGUGUCUGUUUUGGUUUUAUGUAGUUGACUCUUUUUAACUCCGCCUGUGUUGCAUGUUUGCUCAACACAGCCGGUCCCAAGCCCGGAAAAGGAGGAGGGUUUGAGUCAACAGAUGGGAUCUCAAUGUUUUUUAAUUAUCUCUGCAUUUGUGUUUUUUCUGCCUAUUUUUAGGUUGCCUUUACUCUCAACUCUUUCUGAUUGCGUGCAUCUUUUCUCUGUGUUGCGGGUUCAACUUUUGGAAUAUUAAUUACAUUGGGAGUGUUGAAGGCUUUAUUCUUGUAGCUGGGUAUAGAAAGGAAUCUACGAGCUGCUGUCUUUGGGGAAUUGUAUGAUCUAGGGCUAACAUAAUAAUCUCGAUUUCCAUUCCUUGAAUCUACUUGUUGAUUUCACCUUAUUUUUGGCAGUUAGAUGUAACUGGUUCUAGACGAGCUGUGUUGGCUGGCCAUACAACUUUUGCAGUGGAAUGCAAAAUGAACUCUUCUUCAUUUGCCAGGUUGCAUGAACCAUUUUAGGUGUGCUGUCUCUUAAGAGUAAGUUUUACUUGCCCUAUUAUUUAUCCAUAAUCUGUUUCUUGCUUUGAAAUAAGUGACUUAUUAUUUUUAAUUUAAACUAUGUGCUCACUGGUAUGGGGAAUGAGAACUUCUAACCAUCCAUGUUCAUGAUAUACACGGAAGUCAAAACUGUGAGAUGCCACAUUGUGAAUGUAUUAAUUUCAAAGGGCGUUAUAUAUUAAAUGGAAAAGUGUUCUUGGUUGUUCUGCAUGUUACACUCUAUUCAAAAGUUGCUUUAUUGUGUCAAUUUAUGUUUUUAUCUAAUAAUAGGCUCUUGUAAUUCCAUCUGUGUCAAUCCAUAUCUAAGAUAAUAUAACAUUUAGGAAAAUGGUAUAGCUCGAGUUACCUAUCUUAGAGAACUCGUGACAGUCUUAUUGACACACCUUUGAUCAGUUAAAAUUAUUAAUGUAAAUUGUUAGAUAUUACCUACUAGUAUAGCAGCGAAAUGAAAUAGUCAUUUAACUACAUUAAAUGUAUGUAGGAAAAUGCCCUCGAUCUGUUUAGUUCAGUUCUGUGUGAUGUUUUCUGGAAAUUUUCUUCGACUCACUUUGGCAUACAAUCAUAGAAUUCAUUAAUUUGCUUGUACAGUCCAAAUAUUACUAGAAUCAAUAAUUAUGAUUAACAUGGCAAAGAUUGCAUAAAUAUAUUUUUAAGACUUCACUGCUUUCCCAAAUUUACUAGAAAUGCAGGAGGGAAGUAAUGAUGGUCAAGAAAAGCUAUCAUUCUAUAUUUUCUUGUUUGCAAGUUCCAUAACUGAAAGGUUUCUCAGAGCUGGACCCAGCUGCAACCGCCGCAUUAGAGCUUCUUCAGGUAAUGGGUCCUCGGGAAGUAGAGAUGACAGAAAGGAGACCGCAUCUGAGAAGGCUUAGAAGGGUAUCCAGGGAAGCAGCCUUGAACAAUUGUGCAGAAUACUGGUUUUGUAUAAUUCAAGGAGAAUGGCGUUUUGGUGUGGAAUCAGAAUUUGGUGAAAUACUUUUGUUCUUUCUUUUGAACUCAAUAAAUGUGUAGGGUAGAUUCAAAUCUAUAAACUCACAUAGUUGAGAGGAUGAAGAGCUUUAUUCUUCUUUCAUGUAUGAGAUAAUCAAGGAAGGCUCCAAGUAAGUUCCUUCAAGCACUGGGAAUUUAUCGCUCUGAGGUGUCUCUCUCCCUGGAUGGCCUAAACAACAGUUGGAGUCAUAAGGAAAAUACCAGUUGGACAGGAAGCCUUUCACCGCCUUCUCACGCUAAUGAAAGCCAUUUUUUGAAUGUGCUACAGGAGAAAUCGAAUAACUAUGGCAUCUCAGUACUUCCCUUCAUUCAUUGAGUUGGAGGAAUCCAUCAUAGGGACAUUGUCUUUUCGAAAGCUUCAAACUCAUGCUCUUCAUCGAAAGCGGCUUCCAAUUGCUCGGAAAUUCUCCGCUCUGAGCUGCUAAGGGAUUAACCUGAUUGCCCUAAGGCUUGGAACGAUUAGGGGAAAACCAUUGAAUUGUGUCGAUUCGAGCUAGCUUCAGGUCUUCUUCAAUCAGAAAGUAAUGCCUUUUCACUAUAGUAAGGGAUUCGAUCCAUAUGCGAAAGGAAAGAGGGAGAAGACAGCUAUCCGAGGCUCAAGCGUAGUAUCUACUGUUCAGGACUUGUCCUGAGCUCUUUAGAGCAAAAAAUUGGAUAUAUCUAUAAAUCUCACUCUCAGAACUCUGGCAUCGUGUGCUUGUACAUUUUGUAGUGCUGGAAUUCUGAAUUUUGUAUCUGCUUUCCACUUCAAUCAGAAUUUGGACAAUGGGUUUUCAGAUUUUAAUAAAAAUUUCUUUCGCGUUAA